This 217-nucleotide ribosomal RNA is filed under the name uncultured bacterium. RNAcentral describes it as "partial 16S ribosomal RNA". It matches the Rfam family "Bacterial small subunit ribosomal RNA", at positions 118 to 335 of the family's 1533-position model. The record is from RNAcentral.
UGAGCAAUCUGCCCUUCACAUCGGAAUAACCAUUGGAAACGAUGGCUAAUACCGAAUAUGACUUCGGAUCGCAUGAUCUGAAGUGGAAAGCUCCGGCGGUGAAGGAUGAGCUCGCGGCCUAUCAGCUUGUUGGUGAGGUAAUAGCUCACCAAGGCGAUGACGGGUAGCCGGCCUGAGGAGGGUGACCCGGCCACACGUGGGACUGAGACACGGCAGA